AGACCGAACUCGGCCAUGGCACUUAUAUCAAAGGUUUAGAGACUACGUGCACAUAUGAUUCAUCAACAGAAGAGUUUAUUUUAAACAGUCCGACGUUAACUUCGUACAAAUGGUGGCCCGGCGGAUGUAUGUUUUAUAUAUAACGAAUGUCAAAACAAUUUAUCAACAUUCAACGCUGGAUAAAAUUAUAAUUUCAGUGGGCCAUAGUUGUAAUUACGCUAUUGUUGUCGCUCAACUCUACACACAAGGGAUACAUCGCGGAUUGCAUCUGUUCAUUGUGCAGAUAAGAGAUUCGGAAACGUGGAUGCCUAUGCCAGGUGCAUGUUAUUUUUUGAUUAAUUUUAAUAACAAGAAUCACGUUAUUAUUGAAAAACAAUUAUAUUUAUCUGCCAGGAUAAAAAAAUAACUAAAACAUUGAUAUAGGAAUCACGGUCGGUGAAAUCGGCAGUAAAUUCAGUUUGAACUCUACCAACAAUGGGUACGUGGCAUUUGAUAAUGUCCGAAUACCUCGAAUGCAAAUGUUAAUGAAAAAUUCGAUAGUUCAUAAGGUAAUGAGUUAAUGGUGUCGUGAUGAACGAUGUUUUUUUAAUGCGAUUGCAUGGAUCUAGAAAUAUGUUAAACUAUGAAAGGAGGGGAGAGAGUCGGGGUGAUCAUUUUUUAAUACUUCACUUAAGAUUUCUUAUGACGCCAUUACGUGAUGAUGUUAACUGGUUAAAUUAAUUAAGUAUAUAAAUCACAAUGCGUAAUUAAAAAUUGAAAUUUUGAGUAUAGGAUGGAACUCACGAAGUUGUAACUCGGGAUAUAUUGACAUACAGUACGAUGGUAUUCGUACGGGUAGCAAUUGUCAAAACCGUGAUUAACAACUACUUAAUGCGGUCAGCUGUAAUCGCAAUCAGGUACAGUGCGAUUCGGCGGCAAUCGAAAUUAAAACCUGGGUAAUAUAUUAUAUUUCACAAUAUAUACGGUAUAUUAUGUUACGUUGGUUUAUACUUACUUGCGGUACAGGGAACGCGAGCCACAAAUAUUGGACUACCAAACGCAACAGUACAAACUGUUUCCGACCAUUGCUACGUGUUUAGUGUAUAAAUUUGCUGCAAAAUGGCUAUGCGAUAAAUACUCUACUGUAAAUUCAGACAUAGAACGAGGAGAUUUAAAACAAUUACCAGAGGUUGGUACACUCAAUAAAUUGAGUUUCUUAAUUAUUAAUAUUAUCUGUUAUAAAGUAUAUUGCAGUUAAUGAUUUAAAAACCAUAGUGAAUGCAUACGAAUUUUGACUACGCAUUAUUUAAUACGUUAUACCUUCUUCUACAUUAAUAAUAGGAAGUGUCUGUCUAUCUGGGCACGGCGAACAGCCAAAUAUAUCGCUUAUAAGAAUGCAAUCUUUUUUUUUUUUAAAUAUAUUGGUUACCAAAAUGUUAUUAAUUAUUUAUUAGUGUUAGUAUGAACUAUGAAGAUGGUGGUUUUCUAUCACAUAAUAACAAUUCUUUUUUGUAAUUGGUUAGUAUCUAUGGUAAGCUUUUGGUUUACCAGAGUGUUUAUACGUUUUUACUUCAUGACUAAAUACGUUAAUUGCCUACUUAACGUGUUGUUGAAUCUAGUAAAACAAUUUCAUGUACAUUGUACACGCUCAUAAAUAUUAAUUACAAAAAAUGACUGUUAUUGUUUACUGUAUUAUUAAUAAUGCUAAGAUGAUUUUAUCGUAUUAUUAUAUUUAUACAUAGCAAUUGGUUUAGGAGUUUAUACUGCAUUUGAAAUCAGUAAAUAUACGAGUCGUUGGAAUUGUCUCUUUAGCAAGUAUAAUAAGUGGUGAAAAUUUGGCGAUGCACAAGUCCUUUAAGAAACUCUUGUUAAAUUAUAUUAUUUUACGGUUUUGAUAGUCAAUAGAAUGGGGAAAUCAAAAAAAUAAUUAUAAAAUCAAUCUCUGUAAAAACUAAACAAGAAAAUGGAUAAAAAUUAAUAAUCGCACGGGUUAUUUCGAUUUCUCGGUUUUUUAAGGUACAAUAUUUUAGUCAUAACCCUACCAUACCUAUGUGUCAAUAAAAAUUGACCACCUCUUAAUGAAGUAAACUGAUUUUCCCUCCAGUAACUCGUGUCUCCCUAAAAUACGGGCCUGCUAAUGAGCCACAAAAUAUUAUAAAUUUUCCCUGAUCUAUCUAAAGCCCCAUUCCGCACCUGGUGGUCAAUGUAUAUUGACGUGUAUAUUCACGCAUAAAUCGGUACAAAUGUUUAUAAUCCAAAAUUGAAUUUCGAAUAAAAAUGUUCUUAAAAUAUAAUUUAUAGCUACACGCUAUGGCGUGUUGUUUAAAAGCUGUCUGUACGGCAGAUGCGGCUAUGGGCGUCACGAAUUGUCGUUUAGCAUGCGGCGGUCAUGGUUAUAUGACCAGUAGUAAUCUACCUAACAUUUAUGCGCAAACCACCGCAGCAGAAACUUAUGAAGGAGAAAACACAGUAUUACUUUUGCAGACAGCUAGGUACUUACUACUAGUAGCAUUAAGUUAUUGUAACGAUUUUAACAAAAACAUAAUACUUAUUACCGAUUGUUUAUUACCUAAUUCAAAUUAUUUUUAAACUUUAUAGAUUUUUGAUGAAAUCGUAUCACGAUGUGAAAAUGGAAAAUAUGCCGUUGUCGAACACUAUAUCUUAUCUGAGAGAUUAUACAGAUUUGAACAAAUUCCGAUGGACUACAACAUUAGAAUGUAUGGCAAAUGCAUUUUAUCAAGUCGCCGGAAGGUAUACGAGAUUUAUUUUACAACAAAAUGUUUAACUUGCUAACUUACUAUUAUAUUAAUUUUAAACAUAUUUUAGUAAGAUCGAAGACUGUUAUUCAACCAUAAAACGGAUGGUGAACUCUGGAGUUACUCAGGAGGACGCUUGGAAUCAAACGUCCAUCAAACUAACUCAAGCAUCUGAAGUACAUAAAUACCAUUUUAAUAAUUUAAAUAAGGAAAUUAAAAAACUUCAUCUAACACGGUUUAUACUUUUCGUGUUUUAUAAAGAAAAAUCACUCUCAACACGAAUAUAUUCUCUGUCUAUGGGCGUAAAAAUUAAUAUUUUAAAUCUCUCCUCUCGUUACACGUUACACAUGUCGAUGGUCGUAUCUUUAUUAUCCUUCUCUUAAACAGUAUUUCAGAAGCAUCAGAUUUUCUAUCGAAUAUCUCAUUUAGUGUUCCUAAUAAUCACACCAGACUACCACAGACUAUUCCCUACACUUACACAUUAUUUUCAAAUUUAUUAAGUUAGUAUAUAUGUAUAUAUUUUAUUAAUAUAAGUAAAAGUUAAAUUAUUGUAAUAUUUUACUUGAUUUUUAUAGGCACACUGCAGAGCAUUUGUUAUCAAUGUUUAUCUAAAAACUCUCCAGACGCUUACAUUUUCGACCGAGUUAAUGAAAGUACUCAUCGAUCUGGGUGAACUUAUUUGUGCAUAUUGGAUAAUAAAUCGACUUGGAGAUUUUCUUCAGGUAAAUUAUUUUCUUCAGCUGUUAUAAUAAUUUCAUGUUUUUAUAUGUACGCGAUUUUGUUCACAGUUCUCGAAUCUUAAAAUUAACGACGUGCCUUCGGUACAAUUGUUGUUUGAAGACUGCUUAAAACGUAUCAGACCAAAUGCAGUUGGUCUUGUCGAUAGUUUUGAUAUUCGCGAUGAAGUAUUAGACUCGUCGCUUGGCUGUUAUGACGGGAACGUCUACGAACGGAUUUUCGAAGAAGCUAAAAAAAGCCCUUUGAACAAAGAACCCGUGAAUCGUUCGUUUGAAUUGUACUUGAAACCAUUUAUAAAAUCUAAUAUUUAAAAUUUUGAAUUUAAAUUGAUCAAUGAAAAAUGUAAAUUUUUUGUUUUUCGUAUAAAUUUAAUAUAAAAAAAAAUAUACCUAUAAAUAGAAUAUUAUGUACGAGCAAUUUUAAAUAUUUUUGAACAAUAGAUUAAUUUGUUUUAACAGUUGCACUCAGAUAGAUCAUACCAAAAGUGGUUUAACUGCAUAUGAUAUCCAAGGUGUGGGUGGUUGGUAAUGUUGAUCUAAAUUGUCUUGGUCUUGAUCUUGCGGCAAGAUUAAGACUAAGGUGGCACUAGCACUAGCUAGACCAAAAUAAGUAUUUACAUAUUUAGACCAAGACCAAAACUGCAAGACUUGUAGUCUUGCACAUUUUCAAUUCGGAGCACAACAAGUGAUCUAUUAAUUAGUUUUACUAUGAUGUAUGUUUUUUUUUUGUGUGUCAUACGAGCAACUUUAAUACCAGAAAUCUUGCUCCGACGUAUCAAGUGUAGCGCAUUUUCUGAAAGGAAAUUUUAUUUAGUUGGCAGGUUAAGUAAUUUUUUGAUUUUCCAAGUAGUUUCCAUAAUAAUUGGAAAAACUGGAAAAAGAUGAAAAACGGAAACUGAUAUAGACUGUCUCGGUCUUAGUCUUGGUCUUGGUUUACUUAUGAUUAAUGACUGGUAUCUUGAGCCUGUUUAAAAAUUCUUAAAAAUAAAAUAAAAGUCGAUGGAGUCGAUACUUAUGUUAACUGCACGUAUUCUCUAAAUUUUUUUGUGCGCCACUAAUUCGUUAUAAUAUUUUGUACUUACGUAUUAUUAAUAUUAACUGGUUCAGGGCGAUAGUCGUUUGUACGAAAAUAAUAGUUAAUAAAAUUGUAACAAAAUAUUAUUAUAGUUCAUCUAUGUGUUAUAAAUACAAUCGCAUAUAUGUAGUUACAUCUGUGUACAGACUACGAAUAUGUAAACUCGGCUGU
RNAcentral lists this long non-coding RNA (4718 nucleotides) under Cinara cedri. Lineage: Eukaryota; Metazoa; Arthropoda; Insecta; Hemiptera; Aphididae. The record is from RNAcentral.